Molecule: long non-coding RNA, 1089 nt
Filed under: Homo sapiens (human)
Lineage: Eukaryota; Metazoa; Chordata; Mammalia; Primates; Hominidae
Description: LARGE antisense RNA 1
Source: RNAcentral
CAUGGAAAGAGCAUUCCCAGAAGCGGGGCCAGGGCAGUGCGCACAGUGAGGAGAGCAGGUGUGUGUGAGUUGAGGAAACUGGGCCCUGAGACAUUAACUUGCCCAAAAGAUCACAGUGGGCAACAUUCUAGAGCACAGUGGAAGCCGACAGCAAUGUCAGUGAAGAUGGAAAACAGAACGUGGAGAGAGAUGUAGCUUACUAGAGCCCUGUGGCUUCAAUCCCCACCAGGAAUGUCGUUUAAGAGGAAGGUGAUCUAGCACAAAUUCACAUUUGCUUGAGGAAGAAUACAAAUAGAAGCAGCCUCGGGGAGCGGGCGGGGCUGGGGAAUCCCUGGCCUCCCUCCUUUCCUUCUGGCUGAUCUUCUGCAGAAGACCUCACAAAAGGGAGCUGAGGGGCCAGGAAGCCUGUGGAUGCCCUGAAGAAGAAUGAGUAGAUCUGAAAGGGCAGUAGAACAGAACCAGAAUCCAGUGCAAAGGCCCUGGGGCAGGAGUUCGCAGGAGAAGCGGGGAGAAGGAACCAGCCUAUGAUCCAGGAAUGCAGUGAACAAGAUUUGGGAAGUUGACAGAGAAUAUGAGGCCUCCUCUCCAAACAGAAACUCCAGGACGCUUGGUUGAGUCACUGACACAUGCACAGUGCUGAGCAUAGUACCAGACACCAGAGUCUGUGUUCCAGAAAUGGAAGAAUAGGACAUAUCACACACCAACCGUGUGCAAAGCACUCUACCUAAAGAUCAGCGCUAACAGAGGAAUAAGCAGAGGCCUCCAGGAGCAAAGAGUGAAAAGUCUCCCAAGGAUUCAAGUACGGGGGAAGUGGGUGGAGCUUUCACCGUAGAAUCUUUCCUGGAGAAAAAGCAAAGAGUGGGACAACAAUGAAGGCAUUAAAAAUAACUGUCAAGUUGAAGAAAAAGUAUUUUGCCAAAGACUAAGGAUUCGGAGAUGACUACGGAAAGGAAUAAGGAUUUUAUGAAAAUGCAUGUUUGUUGAAUAACACAAAGGAGAAUAUUAUCUAAUGUGGCUUGGGGUCAAUAUCAAGCAGUAAUAUUGUUUUAGUAUUAAUUAGAGCCGUGUCAUUGCAAGAGCUGGUAAGAA